AACCUUCAACUUUUGCUUUCAUUCUGGAACACAUAUCCUCCCUCCUUAUAAAGAUAUGACCCUUAUUCUUGAAUUUAGACCUAUUAAAUAAAAUGAUUUAAAAGAAAUAUAGAGGGAGUCAGAGAUCAGAGGCUAGAGACUUAUUCAGUUUUCUUCUGACCUCUUUAGAAACUUAUUCAUUUCUCUCCUCCUUCCCUCUCAAAGGGUACCUCUUAUUCCCAGAGUUGCUAAUUACAGAGAAGCAUCAGCAGGACCUUUCUGAACCAUGGCUCCAAGUCAUAAGAAGAGGAACCAAGCAGAAGAGAAAUCACUGGGUUGAAGAGAUGGUAAAAGCUAACAGCAAUGGUUUGAAGCUAAAGAAUUUGUAGACCUCAGUUUCUUAAAAGAAAAUGAAGAGUUCUAUGAAAGCUAUGAAAGUAUCUAGCCCCUUUCAAAAAAAAAAAGAAUAACCAUCAUGUGUUCCUCAUAGAGAAGUAGCAGAGAAAGAGCUUUUCUCUACUAUUGCUGUAACAUGAAUUGUAUGGAGCAAGUGUGGCUAUUCCCUGCCUGCAUCCUGUAAGAUCAUGUGAGAGCUCUGGACAUGUAUGAUUCAUCACUAAGAGUGUCCUAACUGGCUGGCUGGAGGCCAUUGUGAAUCAUCACUGAGAGUAUCCCUAAUUGGCUACAGAGCAGGAAUAGCUGAUGAGUCAGAGGACCUUGGAAAAGAAAUGCAAGGUUCUGGCUGGGGUAAAUUAGCUGUUGCUCACCAGAUGACAAGGGGUUAUCUCUGGUAUUCUUUACGAACAAUGCAUUGAUGGGAGUUGCUCUUGGAUAGAUCCUACUCUCUUCCGUUUCACUGUUUUAAAGUGACAAAAAGAGAUGGAAUUUGGUCCCUUUAAGAAACUAGGCAAGAGACAUUGAGUAAAGAUGACACCUGGAAAGAUUAUAACUCCCCUAGGAAUUAUCCUGCAGAUAUUUUAAAAGGUGCCAGAUGAAACAAUCAUAUAAAGUGAAUCACUAAAACAAAAGGGAAACAGCAAUGAACUAUCCAGGCUAGGACCACACAAGAAGACUUUCAGAAGCUUGUGGAUAGCCUGGUCAGGAAAAUACCAGGGGAGAGCCUGAAGCCAAUGGGAUGUUAUCCUAAGGCUAUUGGAAUCAUAACAAGAAAUAAAGCCAGCUCCCAAUACUUAACUUUGUAAAGGGAACCCAGGUCAUGUUUGUAUAUAUCUUGGGGCCCUCAAGGAAGCCUGAAGUCAAUGCUACCAUGACAAGUGAAAAAACUAGCUCACCAUAGGAAGCUUCCUGGGGAAAGGAGAAGCACAGCAAUCAGUAGCUAAGGCUUAAAACUAGUCAUUCACUGGCCAUUUCAGAGGAUAUAGAAGACAGAGAAGAAGCACAGACAAUCAGAACCCUCAAAGAGGUCCGAAGCCAGCAUUAUGAAAAAUACUCAAUGUGGACUUUGUCCUAAGUGACAAAAGCCAACUGCAAGUUAGUGACUAUUCAACGAAAAGGAAAGGGUCAUAGGACUGGGGCCAGAAUCCAUGUCUGGUCACCAGGACAGAAUCAGAAAUCAAGAAUUGUGAUAGAAGGUAGGUUUUUUUUUUUUUUUUCAGCUCCAUCCACUCUUUAUUCCAGGUCAAAGCCACCAAUGAGGAAAGCAACUAGGACUAUGAAUUAGUCACGUCAUGCAGAACUUCAGCAAGACAACCAUAAUAGCACUCAUAUUGCAGUGGAGAGAAGAUCAGGAAAUAUUUAUCAUGACUAUCCAAGAGGGCAAGGAUGAAUGGAGCCUGUAAUAAAUGGUCCUGGCAUAAAGUAAUGAACCAGGAAAUAAAGCAGCAAAUAAGAGUAAAUAGAAGAAAAUUCCAAAUUCAAUGAAGAAAUGCUAUGGGAAAAGAGAAGA
This is a long non-coding RNA of Sarcophilus harrisii (Tasmanian devil), 1885 nucleotides long. RefSeq lists it as uncharacterized. The record is from RefSeq and is a predicted model, not a curated record. Lineage: Eukaryota; Metazoa; Chordata; Mammalia; Dasyuromorphia; Dasyuridae. The transcript has 3 exons.